Molecule: long non-coding RNA, 1063 nt
Organism: Marmota flaviventris (yellow-bellied marmot)
Lineage: Eukaryota; Metazoa; Chordata; Mammalia; Rodentia; Sciuridae
Source: RefSeq, a predicted model, not a curated record
UCUGCCCGGCCGGCGCGCGCCGCUUCCGCCCGGGUGGGGAGGGCCUCCCCUCCCCCUAUGGAGAAACACUCUCGUCAGGCCUUCCUUGGCCUGUUACACACCUCCCCAGCGUCGCCAUCGGGAACCCCGGGCUGUGCCGAGCAGGGUAGAAUGGGGCCGUCUGCAGAGAGAAAACUUAAUGAUUCAGGGAUCAGAUGCCCUGAAGAGUAGAAGGCUUCGGUCCCAACUAGUGUUGCCAAAGCAGCAUACUAAUUCCAUGCCAUGGUCCUGGGUCAAGAUCUGCACAAUCUGAUUGGCCAUAUCACCUCGGAUGGCAAGGGAAUGGAAGUGAUCAAAAUCAUGGAGUCCCAGCUUUCGGAGACGCCUUGCAGCUGCUCGGUAACACUUCCAAGGCUGUGGCUCCACAAGGAGGUAGCGGCAGAGGGAGGAAAGAUGGGCCAGGAACUCCCACAGGCCAUGGUCCCCAUGGUUAAGAUGAAUCCACAUGGUUAUUGACAUACAGAAGCCAAUGUCAAAAACUGAACGUCCAAAUUGACUUAAGAAGGAGCUCAAGAGAACCUUCCGGGUCCUUUGAUUCAUGAAGUCCAGGGUGAUAAAAUUCAAGCCAUCAGGAAAAGGACAUUCUUUUUUAGCUCGCUCCACCAGGACUGGAUCUAUGUCACAGCAUAGGAGACGGAGUUCUCUGGAGGCAUCUGAGCAGUUCUCCCCAUCAUGUAAGGAAAGGAAGUGUUUGUAUAGAGCCACACUCAGAUCCUAGAGGAAUCCAAAAGAGUCAUUGCAGUAUUCAACAUUGAAUGGAAGACAAAUCUCUCAUCCUCUAAGACUGCCAUACUUACUUCUGGCUUUAUAGGAUGUGAGCCUCCUAAUUAUAACCUACAGAGGUUGUAGUUUUUCUUGAGCAGACUCUCAGCACCCUCCAGGGGUCAUAGACUGUAAAUGCACUAUCCCUAUAUUUUCUUGAUAACUGCUGGUUGGGUUGUGUGGUUCAAAGUGAUAGUUCAAUGAUACUGCAAAGGAGCCUAGAGCAAUAAAUAAUAUGCUGGUAAACACAUCUUUAAAUAUA